This 155-nucleotide unclassified non-coding RNA is filed under the name fungal sp. Its description in RNAcentral is "partial internal transcribed spacer region". The stretch from base 1 to 46 matches the Rfam family "Eukaryotic small subunit ribosomal RNA", at positions 1786 to 1831 of the family's 1831-position model. The record is from RNAcentral. Lineage: Eukaryota; Fungi.
AAGUCGUAACAAGGUUUCCGUAGGUGAACCUGCGGAAGGAUCAUUAACACGUAUCCAACGUUAAACCCCCCCGUGAACCUUCAGUGCGCUCGCACUUUCUUAGAAAAGCGGCCACCAAACUCGAACAACUGUUAACAAUGGAUAUCUUGGUUCUC